This 120-nucleotide ribosomal RNA is filed under the name Anolis carolinensis (green anole). The record is from RNAcentral. Lineage: Eukaryota; Metazoa; Chordata; Lepidosauria; Squamata; Anolidae.
UCUCAUAUUCCUAAACACCCAAAAGGUACCAGAUCCCAUCUGGUCUUAGAAGCUGAGCAGGGUUAUUCCUAGUUAGUAUUUGGAUGGGAGAUCACUAAAGAAUGCCAGGUGGUGCAGGCU